GCCUAAAAUAAAAUUUCAUUUGUUUGGCAUUGCCGCCCGACCCACUGAAAAACUUGCCGCCCCAAUAAUUUUAUUUGCGUUUCAGAAAUUUGUUUUUUUUUAUUUAAAAAAAAUCGAAAUUGUGCCGGAAUUUGAUCGUAUCCGCCGAGUUUGUUCCUGGCUUUACUUAUUUCAAAUCACAAUCUUAAAAGCGCUUGCCUUACACUGUAUUCAUGUGUAUUGGGAGCAAACUUUUAAAUGACAUGGGAUAGAAAAAGUCUGCCAAAAGUAAUGGAACGGGGACCCAAUUAUUUGCCCCAUUGGAACGCAUUGAAAAUCAUAGUAAAUACAUAGGGUCCUGUUCAAUAAAUAAUUUUGAUAGCCACCUUGGGACUUCUGGUUCAUGUUAGGCAUUCAUUUUGCAGUGUCUAAGCACAAUCUCAGUGCCUCAUGACCGGCAUUCCGUUGCAAAAUUUUGUUUUUAUUGACAACAGGGUCAGUCUGUCCACUUCCGG
This 494-nucleotide long non-coding RNA is filed under the name Mytilus galloprovincialis (Mediterranean mussel). The record is from RNAcentral. Lineage: Eukaryota; Metazoa; Mollusca; Bivalvia; Mytilida; Mytilidae.